This 86-nucleotide transfer RNA is filed under the name Candidatus Vogelbacteria bacterium RIFOXYD1_FULL_44_32. Its description in RNAcentral is "tRNA-Tyr". It matches the Rfam family "tRNA". Rfam says of the family: Transfer RNA (tRNA) molecules are approximately 80 nucleotides in length. The record is from RNAcentral. Lineage: Bacteria; Candidatus Vogeliibacteriota.
GCGUCGGUGGUGGAGUGGUCAAUCACAACAGACUGUAAAUCUGUCGCCUUACGGCUACGCAGGUUCGAAUCCUGCCCGGCGCACAA